Molecule: ribosomal RNA, 321 nt
Filed under: uncultured eukaryote
Lineage: Eukaryota
Description: partial 18S ribosomal RNA
Rfam family: Eukaryotic small subunit ribosomal RNA
Source: RNAcentral
CCCUUAGAUGCUCUGGGCCGCACGCGCGCUACACUGGUCGAUGCAACGAGUUUCUUUCCUUGGCCGACAGGCCUGGGCAAUCUUUGAACAUCGAUCGUGAUCGGGAUAGAUUCUUGUAAUUUUUGAUCUUAAACGAGGAAUUCCUAGUAAACGCAAGUCAUCAGCUUGCAUUGAUUACGUCCCUGCCCUUUGUACACACCGCCCGUCGCACCUACCGAUUGAAUGGUCCGGUGAAAUCUCGGGACGGCGGCUUGGUCGCUUGCGUCCGACUGCUGAAACUUGAUUAAACCAUNUNAUUUAUNGGAAGGUGAANUCGUANCA